Molecule: long non-coding RNA, 250 nt
Organism: Humulus lupulus (European hop)
Lineage: Eukaryota; Viridiplantae; Streptophyta; Magnoliopsida; Rosales; Cannabaceae
Exons: 3
Source: RefSeq, a predicted model, not a curated record
CUCCAACAUCACGAAGUCGCUCUCCACCCCAUCGGCUCGACUUAGCAAACAUCAAAGGUGACGGCGCCUGGCGGAGGCAGAGGCAAAGGCGAGGUCACGGGUUCGACGAUGCGUGGGUCUUCUUCUCCUCAGCACACGACGGAGGCGAGAUCUGGCUACACUUUCCUAAUUGCAAAUGCUGCAAGGGUGAGAGCCUUCUUUGGAUGCCCAGUUGAUGAACGCAAGGACUUUCUGCUGCAGAUGAUGUAUA